UACGUAGGGUGCAAGCGUUAAUCGGAAUUACUGGGCGUAAAGCGUGCGCAGGCGGUUGUGCAAGACCGAUGUGAAAUCCCCGGGCUUAACCUGGGAAUGGCAUUGGUGACUGCACGGCUAGAGUGUGUCAGAGGGGGGUAGAAUUCCACGUGUAGCAGUGAAAUGCGUAGAGAUGUGGAGGAACACCGAUGGCGAAGGCAGCCCCCUGGGUCAAGAUUUGCCC
Molecule: ribosomal RNA, 223 nt
Filed under: uncultured bacterium
Lineage: Bacteria
Description: partial 16S ribosomal RNA
Rfam family: Bacterial small subunit ribosomal RNA
Source: RNAcentral